RNAcentral lists this ribosomal RNA (301 nucleotides) under uncultured bacterium. RNAcentral describes it as "partial 16S ribosomal RNA". It matches the Rfam family "Bacterial small subunit ribosomal RNA", at positions 509 to 807 of the family's 1533-position model. The record is from RNAcentral.
CAGUAGCCGCGGUAAUACGAAGGGUGCAAGCGUUAAUCGGAAUUACUGGGCGUAAAGCGUGCGUAGGCGGUGAGUUAAGUCUGCUGUGAAAUCCCCGGGCUCAACCUGGGAAUGGCAGUGGAUACUGGCUCGCUAGAGUGUGUCAGAGGAUGGUGGAAUUCCCGGUGUAGCGGUGGAAUGCGUAGAGAUCGGGAGGAACAUCAGUGGCGAAGGCGGCCAUCUGGGACAACACUGACGCUGAGGCACGAAAGCGUGGGGAGCAAACAGGAUUAGAUACCCCAGUAGUCCCUGUCUCUUAUAC